GACGAACGCUGGCGGCGUGCCUAAUACAUGCAAGUCGAGCGAACAGACGAGGGGUUUGGUCCUCUGACGUUAGCGGCGGUCGGGUGAGGAACACGUGGUUAACCUAACUCUAAGACUGGGGUAACUUCGGCAAACUGGAGCUACUACCGGAAAAUAUAUUGAAUUUAAUGGUUCAAUAGUGUAAGACGGUUUUGCUUUCACUUAUUGAUGGAUCCGCGCCGCAUUCGUUAGUUGGUAAGGUAACGGCUUACCAAGGCGUCGAUGGGUAGCCGACCUGAGAGCGAGGACCAGCACACUGGCACUGAGACACGGCCGCGACUCCGACAGGAGGCAGCGGUAGGGACUCCUCCGCGAAGGGCGAAAGCCUGACGGAGCGGCGCCGCGUGAAUGAUGAAGGUCUUCUGAUGGUAAAACGCUGUUAGUAUUGAAGUACAAAUGUGUAAGUACCUAUGCACGUCUUGACGGUACCUAGACAAGAAGCCACGGCUAACUACGUG
Molecule: ribosomal RNA, 497 nt
Filed under: uncultured bacterium
Lineage: Bacteria
Description: partial 16S ribosomal RNA
Rfam family: Bacterial small subunit ribosomal RNA
Source: RNAcentral